This is a non-coding RNA of Ciona savignyi (Pacific transparent sea squirt), 107 nucleotides long. Lineage: Eukaryota; Metazoa; Chordata; Ascidiacea; Phlebobranchia; Cionidae. The record is from Rfam.
UCUCAGAUUGAUAUACCCGAUCUCGUCUGAUCUCGGAAGUCAAGCAAUCUCGGGCUUGGUUAGUACUUGGAUGGGUGACCGCUUGGGAAUACCAAGUGUGAUAAGCA